This 335-nucleotide long non-coding RNA is filed under the name Carica papaya (papaya). Its description in RNAcentral is "long non-coding RNA (CPAP_LNC002615)". Lineage: Eukaryota; Viridiplantae; Streptophyta; Magnoliopsida; Brassicales; Caricaceae. The record is from RNAcentral.
AUCCAUCGGCAGAGACUCAAAAUUCUGGACGUACUCCCUGUUCUGCAUCUUUCUCGAGGGUGACUAUGGUGGAAUCGGUUAACUGUACUUCUUUUAUUCUCUAGAUCAAUUAGGGUUGGACAGUCAGGUGGACCAAGCAUGCAACUCUCUUUAAGUCCUGAAGUCGUAUCUAUUGUACAGCCCCUAUUACCCUGCAUUCAGAAACUAUUAGAUGAGCUAACAUACUUGCAUUUUUCUGCUUAGUGCGUCAACUACUCUAUUGCCAUUGCCCGGGUUACACAAGAUAUAACAAUCAUAAUCCUUGAGGAGCUCUAUCCAACGCCUCUUACGUAUGU